Molecule: long non-coding RNA, 233 nt
Filed under: Mytilus galloprovincialis (Mediterranean mussel)
Lineage: Eukaryota; Metazoa; Mollusca; Bivalvia; Mytilida; Mytilidae
Source: RNAcentral
GCUUUGUUGCUGUGCUGCUGAAAGAGUGGCCAGUGUUAGCGGCUUUACAGCACUUACAAUUGCUUCUACCGCAUUGUUUGUAACACCCAAAUUUAGAAGUUUCUUGUUUCUUUACUUUUGAUGUCACAAGUAUGUCUUUGAGAUUUUUGGGUCUGCGAUAGGCAAUAAUAGGAGGUGAUGGAAAAAUUUCUUUUAAGGAAGAGUCAUUUUCGAUAAGACGCCAGUGCUUUCGG